CUGAUUGGCUGCCCAAUUCCUCUGGGCCGGAGAGCGCUCUGAUGUUACAAUAUAUACAUUUUGAUACAAUCGUCCCCGCUGUAGGGGGCGGGUGCCCACGUGCUGGCACUGCGGGUUGCCAGCUGCCUCUGAGGAGAAGGCAGGGCUGCCCCCUGUCAAAACCAGCCGUUUCCAUCCAGCUCCAGCGGCACUGCCACAAGGCACAACCGAGCCCCACACCCAAGGUGGAGGCGUCCUGGGGGAAACGUCCCGAGGAAAGGGCAAGAAGGGGCAGAAUGCUGCCCAGCAGUGGGGAGAGAGGGUGGAACCGUGUGAGAGACAGCCACGUGAAUGCCCGAGUGAGAAGCUGGGGAGCGGGAGGCGGAGAGGGAGGAGGAGAAGGAGGUGGAGCGUGAGGAGGAGGAGGUGGAGCCGGAGCAAAGGGUGGAGAAAAAGCAUGGGCAGGAGGAGAAACAGAAGGAGGUGCUCCAAGCGCUAGGGCAGAGAUUCUCCCGCAGCCGCUGCUGGAGGCGGCGGGGCACGUCACCACACCCCAAGGGAUGCUGCAGCCUGCUCAGAGCCCACACAGGUACAGGGGAGAAGUGGAGGAGGAAGGAGCGGCCGAGCAGAGCUGUGGGGGGACUGACCGCUACCGCCCCUCACCCCUGCACCUCUCACGCUGCGGGGACGUCGAGGACUCGUGCGUGAAGGAGGGUAUUUGGGCUCGGGGAAGAGGGGAGGGGGGUCAGGUGCUUUUGUUUCUCACCAUCCAAGUCUGUCCAAAAUGUGCAAUGACUCCAAGCAACUUCCCCCACGUCUAUUCUGCUUUGCCUCUGGUGAGCGAGCUCCCUGUCCGUGUCUUGACCCACGAGAAUGCCCAUCGCCUUCCCUACUCUGUCCCGUUGAGGACACUGAGUGACCGAGUAGCUGGCUGUGCAUCGGGCUGCUGGCUGAGGUCAGCCCGCCACUGCAACUUCUACAGUACAUACAGACACAGAAUUAUUAAAAAGGAUUUGAUAAAGUUCCUUCCUGCUGUUGUUGCGGAGCAGCG
This 1030-nucleotide long non-coding RNA is filed under the name Gallus gallus (chicken). Its description in RNAcentral is "long non-coding RNA NONGGAT011788". The record is from RNAcentral. Lineage: Eukaryota; Metazoa; Chordata; Aves; Galliformes; Phasianidae.